AUUUACAUAGUUUAUUAAAACAUUACAUUUUCACUGUAAAAAUAACCUAGUUUGUAAAUG
This 60-nucleotide transfer RNA is filed under the name Melittomma sp. MEL01. RNAcentral's name for it is "tRNA-Glu". It matches the Rfam family "tRNA". From Rfam's summary of the family: Transfer RNA (tRNA) molecules are approximately 80 nucleotides in length. Lineage: Eukaryota; Metazoa; Arthropoda; Insecta; Coleoptera; Lymexylidae. RNAcentral also lists the same sequence under 1 other name. The record is from RNAcentral.